GUAGGUGAACCUGCGGAAGGAUCAUUAACACAACAAGUCAACAUUCCGCAAGGAGUGUUUUCUUCUUAACCCCCCUUUUGUGAACGUGUGUUUUUAUACUGUUUGGAGGAAGAGAGAGGAAGCGCGUCUUCUUCUCUUUUCCUUUUUUCCAACCUUUUAUUAACCCCUUGAACUGUUUAUGACUGAACUUAGUUUGAUUUUGCUCCUAGUGGGCAGAAGACGACUAGACAUCCAACGCUGAACAACUCUU
This 250-nucleotide unclassified non-coding RNA is filed under the name plant metagenome. RNAcentral's name for it is "partial contains small subunit ribosomal RNA, internal transcribed spacer 1, and 5.8S ribosomal RNA". The record is from RNAcentral.